Molecule: ribosomal RNA, 497 nt
Filed under: uncultured bacterium
Lineage: Bacteria
Description: partial 16S ribosomal RNA
Rfam family: Bacterial small subunit ribosomal RNA
Source: RNAcentral
GAUGAACGCUGGCGGCGUGCCUAAUACAUGCAAGUCGAGCGAACGGACGAGAAGCUUGCUUCUCUGCUGUUAGCGGCGGACGGGUGAGUAACACGUGGAUAACCUACCUAUAAGACUGGGAUAACUUCGGGAAACCGGAGCUAAUACCGGAUGAUAUUUUGAACCGCAUGGUUCACAAGUGAAAGACGGUCUUGCUGUCACUUAUAGAUGGAUCCGCGCUGCAUUAGCUAGUUGGUAAGGUAACGGCUUACCAAGGCUGCGAUGCAUAGCCGACCUGAGAGGGUGAUCGGCCACACUGGAAGUGAGACACGUUCCAGACUCCUACGGGAGGCAGCAGUAGGGAAUCUUCCGCAAUGGGCGAGAGCCUAACGGAGCAACGCCGCGUGAGUGAUGAAGGUCUUCUGAUCGUAAAACUCUGUUAUUAGGGAAGAACAUAUGUGUAAUUAACUGGGCACAUCUUGACGGUACCUAAUCAGAAAGCCACGGCUAACUACGUG